AUCAUGGAGAGUUUGAUCCUGGCUCAGGAUGAAUGCUGGCGGCAUGCUUAACACAUGCAAGUUGGAGGGGAAGUGGUGUUUCCAGUGGCAGACAGGUGAGUAACAUGUAAGAACCUACCCUUGGGAGGGGAACAACAGUUGGAAACGAUUGCUAAUACCCCAUAGGAUGAGGAGAAAAAGGAGGAAUCCGCCCAAGGAGGGGCUCGCAUCUGAUUAGUUAGUUGGUGAGGCAAUGGCUUACCAAGGCGAUGAUCAGUAGCUGGUCCGAGAGGAUGAUCAGCCACACUGGGACUGAAACACAGCCCAGACUUCUAUGGGAGGCAGCAGUGGGGAAUUUUCCGCAAUGGGCGAAAGCCUGAUGGAGCAAUGUCGCGUGAAGGCAGAAGACCCAUGGGUCAUGAACUUAUUUUCUCAGAGAAGAAACAAUGACGGUAUCUAAGGAAUAAGCAUCGACUAACUCUGUGCUAGUAGCCAUGGUAAGACAGAGGAUGCAAGCAUUAUCCAGAAUGAUUGGGCAUAAAGCAUCUGUAGGUGGCUUUUCAAGUCCGCCGUAAAAUCCCAGGGCUCAACCCUGGACAGGCGGUGGAAACUACCAAGCUAGAGUAUGGUAGGGGCAGAGGGAAUUUCUGGUGGAGCGGUGAAAUGCGUUGAGAUCGGAAAGAACACCAAUGGCGAAAGCACUCUGCUGGGACGACACUGACAUUGAGAGACGAAAGCUAGGGGAGAAAAUGGGAUUAGAUACCCCAGUAGUCCUAGCCCUAAAUGAUGGAUACUAAGUGUUGUGCGUAUCGACCCAUGCAGUGCUGUAGCUAACAUGUUAAGUAUCCCACCUGGGGAGUACGUUCGCAAGAAUGAAACUCAAAGGAAUUGACGGGGGCCCACACAAGCGGUGGAGCAUGUGGUUCAAUUCGAUGCAAAGCGAAGAACCUUACCAGGG
Non-coding RNA from Picea glauca (white spruce), 937 nucleotides. NCBI's taxonomy places the organism in Eukaryota, Viridiplantae, Streptophyta, Pinopsida, Pinales, Pinaceae. The record is from Rfam.